Molecule: ribosomal RNA, 468 nt
Filed under: uncultured bacterium
Lineage: Bacteria
Description: partial 16S ribosomal RNA
Rfam family: Bacterial small subunit ribosomal RNA
Source: RNAcentral
GACGAACGCUGGCGGCGUGCUUAACACAUGCAAGUCGAACGGAAAGGCCCUGCUUUUGUGGGGUGCUCGAGUGGCGAACGGGUGAGUAACACGUGAGUAACCUGCCCUUGACUUUGGGAUAACUUCAGGAAACUGGGGCUAAUACCGGAUAGGAGCUCCUGCUGCAUGGUGGGGGUUGGAAAGUUUCGGCGGUUGGGGAUGGACUCGCGGCUUAUCAGCUUGUUGGUGGGGUAGUGGCUUACCAAGGCUUUGACGGGUAGCCGGCCUGAGAGGGUGACUGGCCACAUUGGGACUGAGAUACGGCCCAGACUCCUACGGGAGGCAGCAGUGGGGAAUAUUGCACAAUGGCCGGAAGCCUGAUGCAGCAACGCCGCGUGCGGGAUGACGGCCUUCGGGUUGUAAACCGCUUUCGCCUGUGACGAAGCGUGAGUGACGGUAAUGGGUAAAGAAGCACCGGCUAACUACGUG